Molecule: long non-coding RNA, 3573 nt
Organism: Oncorhynchus tshawytscha (Chinook salmon)
Lineage: Eukaryota; Metazoa; Chordata; Actinopteri; Salmoniformes; Salmonidae
Exons: 3
Source: RefSeq, a predicted model, not a curated record
AGUGCCUGUGAAGUGCCUGUGGUUAAGUGGGCACAACAGCAGGCAAAUGGCAUCUAGGAAUUUGAUACCAGCAACCAAUGGUUGCCAGCUCACUUCCCGCCAGAUCUUCCAGUUGGACCUGAGAUUCAAACUCGCAACCCUCCGGCCACUGUCUCACCUCUCUAACCACCAGGCUACCUGCUGCUUGGUCAUGUUGUCAACAAGGCAGCAUGAUGCAUCGUCCAGAAACCUAUACAACAUCUCCUUUCCAUAAAAUGUGUUUGUUUUUUCAAACUAGUUUUCAUUGGGAAGGUAGAUAAAGCAUUUUUUAUCAAAAGCAAUCAUUUUGGCUGUGUUUAUACAGGCGUCCCAAUUCUGAUAUGCUGCCCAAUUAUUGGCAAAAGAUCUGAUCUGAUUAGUCCAAAGAACAAUAUUUGGGCAAAAAAAUCUGAAUUGGGCUGCCUGUGUAAACACAGCCUAAUGCAUGUGAAAACACAGAAUCCUACUCAUUACUCCGCUUUCUUAAUCUAGCCUAGUCUGUCACUUUUGUUUUGAGACGACUUGCCAUGGGCUUUGAACGGGGAAACUGGUUUAUGCUCCAGCCUGGUCUCAGACUAGAGACUGUAAAUCCGGGACACAUUGUAAAUCUGGGAUACUCAAAUUAGUAUGAUAAAUUACAUUUGGUAUGGUUACAUAAGACUGAGGAUUACUUAAAGAAAAAAUGAAAAGUAGGGUGGUUGGUUGGUCAGGGGUGGAUAGGAGGGUGUAUUAUGUGAACAUCAAGCAACCCAAAGAGUUGCAUGUUCAAAUCUCAUCAUGGACAACUUUGCAACUACUUUUUAGCUACUAUGCAACUACGUUUUAGCUACUAUGCAACUACUUUGCAUGUUAGCUAACCCUUCCCCUAACCUUAACCCUUUAACCUCGACCCUAACACCAAGCCUAGCUAGGUUGCCACCUACAGUAGCUAACAUUGGCUACAACAAAUUGGAAUUGUUAACAUAUCAAACGUUUUGCAAAUUUGUAACAUAUUGUAUGAAUUGUAAGAAGUAACAUAUUAUACGAAUUGUAAUCCAUAACAUAUCAUACCAAAUGGAUUAUGGACACUUGCAAAUUAAUACAUACCAUACGAAAUGUAAUGUAUACUAAUUGAGGGUCCCGGAUUUACGUUUACUAUGUUACGUGAUAACAACUUUGGAGGGGACCAUUACAUUUUCUCAAGAGCAAUUCCUGAGGGGGACACCAAAAGUAGUGCUGUAACACAAAUUGCCUACAUUGUAAUAUGUUCAAUGUAUAUUGAGGAAUCAUAAUUACUACUACUGGAUCAUUUAUAUUGAGUUAAGUUGUCCCAACUUGUCAAAUGUUUAUAAUAGUUAUGGCAGUGUUCCUUAUCAGUCCAGUGUGUAUGCAGGUAUUUGUAUUUACAACCAGCAAUACCAAUAAGGGCCAGUAAGUGGCAAUGGUACUGUACACUGUAUGGGUGCGGUUUUCGUAAAUACAAUGAGCAUCUCAUCUAAAAAUCUCAAUUGAGAACCAUCAAAGUUGGUCUCAGUAUUGAAUUGACCUUUUUUAUUUGACUUCUGAUAUUUAAUGACUAUAUAAAUGUGUGCCACUGGCCUGAGUCUACUACAAUAGCUUUACAAGAACAAAAUGCUCAAAAUAAGUACAGUUCUAAAAGCGAAAGAACUACUUCAAUGAAUAACCAAAUAAAUAAACCAAAAUAUCCUCCAAAUAUACUUAUUUAUUGUUCAGUCAGUGUUUCAACACUUCAAACAACAGCUAUGGACAAGUAUAUCACACAACAUCUACCCCUGAGUCCAGGUUGAAAUUCUUUCAUAAUCAAAUCCCCUCAAAUGCUGCGUAUCUUGCUUGGAGAGAAGCCGGGUGCAGCGGCCCUUGUGACUGAUUCCGGAAUCUACCUCUACAUGGCCAGCGGUUAGCUACACAAAAUCUCUGCUCGUCCUUAUCUCAGGUUCAGCUGACGUUGAUGCCAUUUUCAUUUUGUUGCUAAUUGUCUGUCAUUAAUAUGAAUACGAUGAAUUUGAAGGCUUUAUUUGAUUGUAAAAAACAAUAUACAGUGCUGCAGAUUACUUACGCACACAUAACCAAACAUUAACACAACAUUAGCACUCAGGCAGAGUGCGCAAAUUGGUUUUAGCAACCUUGAUACAACCUUGGAUAUGGCCGAUUAUUACCGCCCCAAAAGGUCCAGCGCUCCACUCUAUCCACUGAGCCUGUCAUCGCUUCCAAAAAGCCUUUCAAGGCGGAGCUUGUAUGUGGAAAGCGUCACUCAUGGUGCACUUGUGGACACCGAGAGAAACAGCCUUUCUGUGAUGGAACCCACAAGGCUAAAGCCCAGGGCCUGAUGCCUCAGCGCUUCGUCCCUGAGAAGGACUCCAAAGCUUAGCUGUGUGGCUGCAAGUACACCGCUAACCCACCAUACUGCGACAGCACUCACAAGCAGGAAUUCAUUCAGUCUGCCCUGCUCAAGGGGAACACAAACUUCUGAAUGGAUAGGAGCUGCAUGUGUUUUUGUCCAAUUUACUGUGGUGUCAGUUCUGAUCCUGGAGAUGGGGGACCCUAAUCACUGGUUCAGAAGGGUGAUUGACCGCGAACAGAUGACGUAUGCAUAUCUGACGUGCUUAGAUCUGAUGUGAUUGGUCAAACGACCGAUUAGUGGAAAAAAUAUCAGAAUUAAGCUGCCUGUCUAAAUGCAGCCUUAGGGGCCUCAUUAGAGUAUAAUGGGAAACUCUGGGCUUAGCACUAGCUUUGAACAAAUCUCCCAUUGUCAUCCAUACAAGAUUUGCAUGACGAGAGCUCUGUGAACAACUCAAUUAAGGAUUCAUCACAUGAUAAGCAAUUUGCAAGGUGAUACUUGUUAUGAGGCGAUUCCACGAUAACAGAAUGAUGCUGAUAUUCAGAUAUUUCACUUUAAAAUGUAAAAACCAAAGAUUAAAGUUAUUCAGACCAUUCAACUUUAUGCACAAGGACUAGUUUUAACAAUUUCCACAAAACACAUUUACUUGAGUGCAGAUGCAAAGUUUGGUAACAGAAUAACAGUGUCUUAAUCUUUGCAAUCAUUGUUUUUUUUUUUUUUGGCAUACAUUUUAAAGUGAAAAAUCUGAGUCACGGCAUUGUUCUGUUACUGUGGAAUUGCCCUGUGUGGGAAUGCACUGGUGCUUCUGUAAAUGUUUGAAAUUGUGAUGAAACAGAUAUUUUAAAUUGUAAUGCUCCGCUAAUGAUACGCACAAGUAUUGUGAUGGACUGUUUCUCAAAAUCAAGUAUUGUAAUAGAACACUAAAUCAUAAGAUUGAUGUAAGAUGAAUUAAGAUGUAUUUUUAUAGAUCUAAAAACAGUAUUAUUUCCUCCACGGUGUAUUCUGUCUGUGUUGAAAUUAAAACGAUCAAAUAUUUUUUUUAAACUUUCUCUUAAUUACUGUCACAUUUUGCCAUCCCAUAACCUGUUUUGUACAUCACUUAUGAAGAAAUACAAUGUUUCAACCGAAAACAUCCUCUGCCUUUGAAGUCAUGAAAAUCCAGAUUCUUUGGAGAGCACAGUUACCGUGGAUCCCAACUUAAAAUCAAGUUAAACAGU